Molecule: non-coding RNA, 391 nt
Organism: Carica papaya (papaya)
Lineage: Eukaryota; Viridiplantae; Streptophyta; Magnoliopsida; Brassicales; Caricaceae
Source: RefSeq, a predicted model, not a curated record
GGCUAAAUUAUACCGGUGAGUUGAUAUCCCUUUGUAUGUGCUAGUUGGUUCAUAAUUUUUUUUGGUAAGUGCAGUUUGCAGUAUUGUAUGAGGCACGUGCAAAUACCGGCGUUGACAGGAUGAAAAUCAUAAAUGCUGUGGCAAAAUCUGUCCCAGGACCUCAUAAAGUUGACCUGAGCAAUCCUGACAAAACAAUCGUAGUUGAAGUGGUGAAGACUGUAUGCUUGAUUGGAGUUGUCGAAAAGUACAAGGAGUUAGCCAAAUACAACCUGAGGCAGCUCACUUCACCAAAAUAACCAACUCAUCUCAUUUUUUAAGCAGGGAAAGUGUGAGUGGGUAUGGCUAUUGUGGGCUAGCCAAAUACAACCUGAGGCAGCUCACUUCACCAAAA